GAUGAACGCUGGCGGCGUGCCUAAUACAUGCCAGUCGAGCGAACAGACGAGGAGCUUGCUCCUCUGACGUUAGCGGCGGACGGGUGAGUAACACGUGGAUAACCUACCUAUAAGACUGGGAUAACUUCGGGAAACCGGAGCUAAUACCGGAUAAUAUAUUGAACCGCAUGGUUCAAUAGUGAAAGACGGUUUUGCUGUCACUUAUAGAUGGAUCCGCGCCGCAUUAGCUAGUUGGUAAGGUAACGGCUUACCAAGGCAACGAUGCGUAGCCGACCUGAGAGGGUGAUCGGCCACACUGGAACUGAGACACGGUCCAGACUCCUACGGGAGGCAGCAGUAGGGAAUCUUCCGCAAUGGGCGAAAGCUUGACGGAGCAACACCGCGUGAGUGAUGAAGGUCUUCGGAUCGUAAAACUCUGUUAUUAGGGAAGAACAAAUGUGUAAGUAACUAUGCACGUCUUGACGGUACCUAAUCAGAAAGCCACGGCUAACUACGUG
RNAcentral lists this ribosomal RNA (497 nucleotides) under uncultured bacterium. Its description in RNAcentral is "partial 16S ribosomal RNA". It matches the Rfam family "Bacterial small subunit ribosomal RNA", at positions 28 to 507 of the family's 1533-position model. The record is from RNAcentral.